UACGUAGGGUGCAAGCGUUGUCCGGAAUUAUUGGGCGUAAAGAGCUCGUAGGCGGUUCGUCGCGUCGGCUGUGAAAACCCGGAGCUCAACUCCGGGCCUGCAGUCGAUACGGGCGGACUGGAGUUCGGCAGGGGAGACUGGAAUUCCUGGUGUAGCGGUGAAAUGCGCAGAUAUCAGGAGGAACACCGGUGGCGAAGGCGGGUCUCUGGACCGAUACUGACGCUGAGGCGCGAAAGCGUGGGGAGCAAACAGG
Molecule: ribosomal RNA, 253 nt
Filed under: uncultured bacterium
Lineage: Bacteria
Description: partial 16S ribosomal RNA
Rfam family: Bacterial small subunit ribosomal RNA
Source: RNAcentral